GAUGAACGCUGGCGGCGCGCCUAACACAUGCAAGUCGAACGAAGAGUAUUGCUUGAAGCUUUCGGGUGGAAAAUAAUAUUUCUUAGUGGCGAACGGGUGAGUAACACGUGAGUAACCUGCCUUUCAGAGGGGGACAACAUUUGGAAACGAAUGCUAAUACCGCAUAAGACCACACUACCACAUGGUAGAGUGGCCAAAGGAGCAAUCCGCUGAAAGAUGGACUCGCGUCCGAUUAGCUAGAUGGUGAGGUAACGGCCCACCACGGCGACGAUCGGUAGCCGGACUGAGAGGUUGAUCGGCCACAUUGGGACUGAGACACGGCCCAGACUCCUACGGGAGGCAGCAGUGGGGGAUAUUGGCACAAUGGACGAAAGUCUGAUGCAGCGACGCCGCGUGAGGGAAGAAGGUUUUCGGAUUGUAAACCUCUGUCUUCAGGGACGAUAAUGACGGUACCUGAGGAGGAAG
RNAcentral lists this ribosomal RNA (465 nucleotides) under uncultured Oscillospiraceae bacterium. Its description in RNAcentral is "bacterial SSU rRNA". It matches the Rfam family "Bacterial small subunit ribosomal RNA", at positions 28 to 490 of the family's 1533-position model. Lineage: Bacteria; Bacillati; Bacillota; Clostridia; Eubacteriales; Oscillospiraceae. The record is from RNAcentral.